Long non-coding RNA from Columba livia (rock pigeon), 385 nucleotides. RefSeq lists it as uncharacterized. The transcript is spliced from 3 exons. The record is from RefSeq and is a predicted model, not a curated record. NCBI's taxonomy places the organism in Eukaryota, Metazoa, Chordata, Aves, Columbiformes, Columbidae.
UGGAAGUAUGUUACAAGAAUGAAUAAAGUAAGCUAAUGCAGUCAUCUCUGAAACCUUGGAUACUGUGCUGCUACGGAGUUUUCGGCUUUUUGAGGAGAAGUUUCCCAAACACGUUCUCUUGAACUGCUGGAGAGACAUAAGGACAAGUCAGUGAAGUCCCAUAGGAGGCAGCAGGGGAGUGGCCAGCAGACGCAAAGCAGGGUGAAGCCACAGUGAGAUUCCUACUGAGUGUUCCUGCAGCUGACUCAGCACAUCACCUCCAAGAAAAUGGCAAGAAGCUCCAUUAAGUCCAAACGAAACUGAAAUCAUUUAAUUAGGAUGCAUCUCUCAUGCAGAAGACGGCAGAGACUGUGAGAUGCUCCCGUGUGGCUGGAGAGCUGGUGGC